This is a non-coding RNA of Ailuropoda melanoleuca (giant panda), 73 nucleotides long. The record is from Rfam. Lineage: Eukaryota; Metazoa; Chordata; Mammalia; Carnivora; Ursidae.
GCCUGGCUGGCUCAGUCGGUGGGGCACGUGACUCUUGAUCCUGAGGUUGUGAGUUCAAGCCCCAUGUUGGGUG